Oryctolagus cuniculus (rabbit) is the source of this 1553-nucleotide long non-coding RNA. Lineage: Eukaryota; Metazoa; Chordata; Mammalia; Lagomorpha; Leporidae. The record is from Ensembl.
CCCCGAGAUUCCUUCCCUGGCCCCCCGGGCCAAACCAGAGAAGGCCCCCCCCUCCUUAGAGCCCCCGCCCCCUCCUGCCCCCGGGGCCCGGCCCGAGAGGCCCCCGCCCCCCAGAGCCCUGCCCCGCCCCGCGUCCUGCCGAGAGGCCCCGCCCCCAGGCGCCCCGCCUGUCCUGACCUGGGCAGCGCCCCCUGGUCCCGGCGGGGCGGGCCCCAGGCUGCGCUUUCCCAGCCAGCUGGGCAGCUGUGCUUGUCCAGGCUCUGCGCCACUGGGCCCGGCCGGGGGUGAGUGCAGUCCGGCCCAGGCGGGUUUCGGGAUUCGCCGAUGCCUUUUCUUCUUUUGGAAGCGUCAAGAAAAUCGACAGUCUCCACGGGGAAGAGUCAAGUUCAAGUGCAAGAGCCUUCUUUUAAAAGAAAAAAAUGCUACAGGUAAGUCUGGAGCCCUGUCGCUCGCACGUGUCACCUUCCCUGCAGGUAGCUAUUGUCCUGAGGUUGCUGUGAAAUAUUCCCCUCCCAUGAUUCUUCAUGUUUUCUGCACAGAUCCUCACCUGUAAACCUACCUGGGGUUGUUUUUCAAUGUUUUCAAAUUUUAUAAAUGACAUUCCGUACACUUGUUUAUUCAACAUUAUGGUUUUGUUUUUUUGGUGUUUUUUUUGGUUUUUUUUUGUUGUUGUUGUUGUUGGUUUUUUUUUUUUUUUUUUUUUUUUUUUUUUUUUUUUUUGACAGGCAGAGUUAGACAGUGAGAGAGAGAGAGAGAGAGAGACAGAGAGAAAGGUCUCCCUUUCCAUUGGUUCAUCCCCCAAAUGGCCGCUAUGGCUGGCGCGCUGCACCGAUCUGAAGCCAGGAGCCAGGUGCUUCCUCCUGGUCUCCCAUGCAGGUUUAACAAUCAUCCAUGUCCACAUUUGUGGUUCUGGGACAUUCAUUUCAAAGUCUUUAUAGUAUUUCUUUGUAUGAAUAUGCCAUGAUUUAUCCAUACCUCAACUGAUGGACACUUGAUAUGUUUCAUAUUUCAUUCAAUUACACCUAAAUAGCUGUGGAUAUCUUUGUAUGUAUUUUCUUUUUAAAUUCAGUUAUUUAAUUAAUUUAUGUAUUUUUAUAGAGAGGGAGGGAGGGAGGGAGGGAGGGAGAGAGAGCGAGAGGGAGAAAGAGAGAGAGAGAGAGAGAGAGGUCUUCCAUCCCCUGCUUCACUCCCCAGAUGCCUCUGACAGCUGGGCCUGGGCCAGGCUGGAGCCGGGAGCCAGGAGCCAGGAGCCAGGAGCCAGGAGCUCAAUGCCACUCCUCCACAUGAGGACCACCUAAACCUUUCCCUGCUGCCUCCCAGGGUGUGCACUAGCGGGGAGCUGGAAUUGGGAGCUGGAACUUGAAUCCAGGCACUCCGAUAUAAGGAAUGUGGGCAUCCCAAGCAGGGUCUUAACCACUAUGCCAGACACCGACCCCCUUUGUGUCCCAGAAAUGGAACUGUUGGGCCACCUCUACCACACAUUGGCAAACUGCCUUUUACUGUGGUCCAGCCAUUCAUUGAACAGAACUUCUAAAAGCGUGAACUCUGCACCA